CCUACGGGGGGCAGCAGUGGGGAAUAUUGCAUAAUGGGCGAAAGCCUGAUGCAGCGACGCCGCGUGAGCGAUGAAGGCCUUCGGGUCGUAAAGCUCUGUCCUAAGGGAAGAAAAUUGACGGUACCUUAGGAGGAAGCCCCGGCUAACUACGUGCCAGCAGCCGCGGUAAUACGUAGGGGGCGAGGGUUAUCCGGAAUUACUGGGCUUCAAGGGUGCGUAGACGGCUUUCUAAGUCCGGUGUGAAAGGCUUCGGUUCAACCGAAGUGAGGACUUGAAACUGUAAGGCUUGAGUGCAGGAGAGGAGAGCUGAAUUCCUAGUGUAGCGGUGAAAUGCGUAGCUAUUAGGAGGAACACCAGUGGCGAAGGCCGCUCUCUGGACUGUAACUGACGCUGAGGCACGAAAGCGUGGGGAGCAAACAGGAUUAGAUACCCGAGUAGUC
RNAcentral lists this ribosomal RNA (440 nucleotides) under uncultured bacterium. RNAcentral's name for it is "bacterial SSU rRNA". It matches the Rfam family "Bacterial small subunit ribosomal RNA", at positions 338 to 795 of the family's 1533-position model. The record is from RNAcentral.